Armigeres subalbatus is the source of this 1287-nucleotide long non-coding RNA. RefSeq lists it as uncharacterized. The record is from RefSeq and is a predicted model, not a curated record. The transcript has 2 exons. NCBI's taxonomy places the organism in Eukaryota, Metazoa, Arthropoda, Insecta, Diptera, Culicidae.
UAUAGUGUUUUCGGUCAGUGCAGAGCAAGUGAAAUGAAUCGACGGCUAGUUCCGAGAAUUGAAUAAUAAUUACGAUAGUAAUAGUGCUAGGAUGCAGAAAAGAAUGUGAAACGAUGUUGAUGUAAUCAUUAUCAGUGGUAAACAAAAGCUAUUGUUUAUAAUACUAUAAAUACUGGGAGCAAUAAACAGAUGGGUUGAGUUUUAUGAGAGAUAACAACAAGUGUUAGUUUAUUUCAGUGGCGACGAGAUAAAAAAAAAAGCUACUUUCGCGAUUAGGUGCGGUGAAGUUAAUAGUUAGCAGUGACGGUAUUGUUGUAAACGGUGUGAAGUGAAAGAAAUUGGAAGUCGCACAAGCCGGUCGAAUAGUGACGCUGAUAUUCGGAACAACCAUUGUUGUGCGGCAAAAGAACGUAUAAUAAAAAACGAAUCGGUGGACGGUGGUCCAGCAAGCGUUGGGAUCGAUCAAGCGGCAGCAGAGCGGAGCCAAUUGGACGGAAACCGGAAAGAAGCUUUGAGAAGCGGAAACAAAUUGAACCAUCUCAGUAUCUCGGUGGUGGAAGAAUCCAGAUCGCCAUCGGGUCAACCCUCGUCUCGGCCCACAAGGGGCAGGUGAAGAUUCAGAAUAGUCAGAGUGGACGAAGGCGUCAUUGUACGCUCCACUUCUCUGACAGCGAAGGCGGAAAUGGUGGAACACGUACUAUACCAGAGAGGGCGGAUCGAAGCGAAAUCCAUGCACGAGGAACCAAACGAACGUUCUCGGAGGCCGACGAUAGCGCAGAUGAAUUCCUCGGUUUCGAACCAGAACAACCCAUGCCCGCCAGUCGCGAACUACACCCAAUCUCAUUACAACCUUUUCAACGGCCGGUGCAACAGCUGAUUAGAAAUGAAUCUAGAACUCCACGAAGGUCAAGUAGACUGAAGAAAAGAAACAUGAUGAUGCAUUUGUAUACAUGAACUAAAUUUUGAACUGAUAAUACAUAUUUUGAAUUAUUAUAAUACUAAGAGUAAUAUGAUCAAAUUUAAUUUAAUUUACAUGAAAUUAACUAGAAGGGAAAGGUAUUGUUGGAUAUAGUGUUUUCGGUCAGUGCAGAGCAAGUGAAAUGAACCGACGGCUAGUUCCGAGAAUUGAAUAAUAAUUACGAUAGUAAUAGUGCUAGGAUGCAGAAAAGAAUGUGAAACGAUGUUGAUGUAAUCAUUAUCAGUGGUAAACAAAAGCUAUUGUUUAUAAUACUAUAAAUACUGGGAGCAAUAAACAGAUGGGUUGAGUUUUAUGAGAGAUAACAACAA